Molecule: unclassified non-coding RNA, 139 nt
Filed under: soil metagenome
Description: partial internal transcribed spacer 1
Source: RNAcentral
CAUUCAGUAGCCUAGCUACUUGUUUAUACCCUUGUUUUUUUGCGUACCUAUUGUUUCCUCGGUGGGCUUGCCUGCCGGUUGGACAAAACUAUAACCUUUUUAAAUCUUCAAUCAGCGUCUGAAUUAUACAUAAUAAUUA